AAAUUGAAGAGUUUGAUCAUGGCUCAGAUUGAACGCUGGCGGCAGGCCUAACACAUGCAAGUCGAACGGUAACAGGAAGCAGCUUGCUGCUUUGCUGACGAGUGGCGGACGGGUGAGUAAUGUCUGGGAAACUGCCUGAUGGAGGGGGAUAACUACUGGAAACGGUGGCUAAUACCGCAUAACGUCGCAAGACCAAAGAGGGGGACCUUCGGGCCUCUUGCCAUCAGAUGUGCCCAGAUGGGAUUAGCUAGUUGGUGAGGUAACGGCUCACCAAGGCGACGAUCCCUAGCUGGUCUGAGAGGAUGACCAGCCACACUGGAACUGAGACACGGUCCAGACUCCUACGGGAGGCAGCAGUGGGGAAUAUUGCACAAUGGGCGCAAGCCUGAUGCAGCCAUGCCGCGUGUAUGAAGAAGGCCUUCGGGUUGUAAAGUACUUUCAGCGGGGAGGAAGGUGUUGUGGUUAAUAACCACAGCAAUUGACGUUACCCGCAGAAGAAGCACCGGCUAACUCCGUGCCAGCAGCCGCGGUAAUACGGAGGGUGCAAGCGUUAAUCGGAAUUACUGGGCGUAAAGCGCACGCAGGCGGUCUGUCAAGUCGGAUGUGAAAUCCCCGGGCUCAACCUGGGAACUGCAUUCGAAACUGGCAGGCUUGAGUCUUGUAGAGGGGGGUAGAAUUCCAGGUGUAGCGGUGAAAUGCGUAGAGAUCUGGAGGAAUACCGGUGGCGAAGGCGGCCCCCUGGACAAAGACUGACGCUCAGGUGCGAAAGCGUGGGGAGCAAACAGGAUUAGAUACCCUGGUAGUCCACGCCGUAAACGAUGUCUACUUGGAGGUUGUGCCCUUGAGGCGUGGCUUCCGGAGCUAACGCGUUAAGUAGACCGCCUGGGGAGUACGGCCGCAAGGUUAAAACUCAAAUGAAUUGACGGGGGCCCGCACAAGCGGUGGAGCAUGUGGUUUAAUUCGAUGCAACGCGAAGAACC
RNAcentral lists this ribosomal RNA (980 nucleotides) under Salmonella enterica subsp. enterica serovar Heidelberg. RNAcentral describes it as "bacterial SSU rRNA". It matches the Rfam family "Bacterial small subunit ribosomal RNA", at positions 1 to 970 of the family's 1533-position model. Lineage: Bacteria; Pseudomonadati; Pseudomonadota; Gammaproteobacteria; Enterobacterales; Enterobacteriaceae. RNAcentral also lists the same sequence under 5 other names. The record is from RNAcentral.